AUGGGGACUAGCCCGGGUGGUUCGGCGUCACCUGUAACCUGAAACCGUCGGUACGCGGGGGGCGAAGUUUGACGAAGGCUGCAACGGCCUGCGGGAACCUGUGUGUUCUGACUGUGAAACCUCGUCCCAUGAGGUCGAUGGCCAGGUAUUAAUAUUCCGGAGGGAAUAACGACCUGUCGCUGCGGGGACCGGUUCAGGCCCGGAAGGGAGCAGACUUACUGUAGACAUUUGGCGCCCAUGGGGUAUCGGGGCGGAGGAUGAAUACUUUGGCAAACGCAGUAACGUACAGUCGACCGAUAACACGUCCCCAU
This 311-nucleotide signal recognition particle RNA is filed under the name Methanoregula sp. RNAcentral's name for it is "signal recognition particle sRNA". It matches the Rfam family "Archaeal signal recognition particle RNA". The record is from RNAcentral. Lineage: Archaea; Methanobacteriati; Methanobacteriota; Methanomicrobia; Methanomicrobiales; Methanoregulaceae.